Molecule: long non-coding RNA, 110 nt
Organism: Mytilus californianus (California mussel)
Lineage: Eukaryota; Metazoa; Mollusca; Bivalvia; Mytilida; Mytilidae
Exons: 2
Source: RefSeq, a predicted model, not a curated record
CUGUACAGCUUUCAAGAACGAGAUAACCUAAUACUAAAAAGGGCCAAGAUGAAGGAGACAGAAAAGAUCCCUCUUUCCCGAUGCUACAGUAUUGGCUUUAAGUGCAACUU